Molecule: long non-coding RNA, 4745 nt
Filed under: Homo sapiens (human)
Lineage: Eukaryota; Metazoa; Chordata; Mammalia; Primates; Hominidae
Description: HSALNT0372698
Source: RNAcentral
UCUUGCCCUUCCACCUAGUUUCCAUGUUAUGAUGCAGCAAGAAGGCCCUUGCCAGAUGUGGCUCCUGGAUUGUGGACUUUUCAGCCCCCAGAACUGUGAGCCAAACAAACUUCUUUUGUUCAUAACUUCCCCAGUCUGUGAUAUCCUGUUACAGCAGCAGAAAAUGGACUAAGACACCCAGGGAUGUACCUGGAACCUGGAAAAAGGGGCAGAUCUGCAUCACGGGCUUGCAUGUCCAAUUUCACCUUGGCACUUGCUUCUCCGAGGGUCUGGACAUGGGGCUUCGUUUGAGUCUGGAAGCAGUGGAGAGGGGCCAGAAGCUCCAGGCCUUGGCUUGGAGAUCUCUACAGGUGUGCAUGGAGAUGUUUGAAGUGCUAAUGGCUGAGACAGAGCAAGUGGCAGAGGCCUAGGAGACGGAGGCUGAAAGAGUCUGAGGAGGAAAGGAGGCACUGAGGGACUCACAUGAAGCUACUCUGUCAGCAUUCUAAAACUUCUGACAUUCUUUUCUAUGAAGAUAAUUGAAUCACCAAAUUUGAUGAAAUGUUCCCCAAAUAUCAGGUGAAAAAAACUCAUCUAAACCUUUGGACUUGGAAUUGCCCACAUAGACCACAUCAGCAAUGGAAGACAGAGCAAAUAACAUGUCGGUUCAAUGUAUGAAGGAGCUUUUCUUUCCCCUGCCCCAACCCUCAGACAGGUAAAUCUGUGAAAGCUCUAUUUUGAUUCUUUUUAAAUUAUUUGUUUUACAUGUUUUGUGUUUUAUGUUGGCUGAUUCCAAAUGGUUGAAAUAGUGGAGGUCCAACAACCAUUUUCACAGUGUAAUCUUCAGAAGUUCAUCCUUUGGGUUGUAAUUUCAUGAUAAGGAGGAGCAAGAAGAUGCUUUUUGUAACUCAAAUAGCAUCUUCUGAGAAAGGUCUCUAUUUUCACUUGUGUCUUAACUUACAACUGUGUUCAACUCUAUUUCCUUUCCUUGCUUUACAUUUUUUCUUAUGCACCUAUAAUUAUCCAAUUUACUAUAUAUUUUAUAUUUGUCUGUUAUUGUCUGUUUUCUCCACUAAAACAUAAACUUCUUGCAGGAUUUUUGUCUGUUUUUCUCACUGUUGAAUCCCAAAAGCAAAGAAGAAUACCUAGCAUAGAGUUAGUGUUCAAGAAACAUUUGCUAAAUGGAUGAACACCUCUUCAUUUUAUGAGAAAUGAAUCUUCCCCAAGAAGGGGCUCCCGGGUGCAUCUUGUGUGUAGACAUCUCUAUGUCCCCAGGCUGCUGUAGAGCUGAGUCAUCUUUGUGCCCACACCUGGGAAGCAGGACCCUUGUUCGUGUUUCUUUGGCCUUGGGCAUGUCAGUGAGUAAGGAGGAUGUGUGGGAUCUGUGUCCAUAUUUACGUAAGAAAGCAAUAUAGCCUACUGCCCCUUUCAUUUUCAGCAAGUGUGUGUUUACACUGGCCUGGGAUCUACUAUAAAGUUUAAUGUUUGGUUAUACAUUUAUUUCUCAGCUACUUUUGUGAAUAAACAUUUUCUAAAACAUAUCUAUUUUAAAAGUGACAAUGUUUGAAUGAAAGAAAGAGGAGGAGUGAAGCCUGGUAGUUAAUUUGCAGAACUUAGAGCCUGAAUUUUUUGGGUUGGAUCUUUGAUUUUACCAUUCAUUAGUUUUGUGAUCUUCCUCAAUUUCCCAAUCUGUAAAAUGGAAAUAAUAAUAGUACCUACCUCAUGGGAUGUCAAGAGUAAAUAUAAAAAAUGUGUGACACCCAGGAAUGACUAUAUAAGUACUAGCAGUUAAUAUUAUUUAUUAUUAUUAUUCCUGCUUGAAUAAUCACUUUGAGCUAAAUCACUUUGUUUUUACUACUAGCAAUAAGCAUGCUUAAAUACUUUUAAUGUUAUUAUAAUUUGUAUUAUAGUAGACUAAUCUGGAAUUUUAUUAAGCAGAAUUCCCUCUAGACAGGCAUCUAUGCAUACGGAGCAAAAAAUGAUGUAUAUAAUAAUAAGUUUGAGGCACUGAAAGAUCUUGAAUGAGCUUCUGAAUCAUCAGUUACUGUAUCUUUGGGGAACACCAGAGAAAGACUCUCCUUACCAUCCUCACUGCAACUAAACUUCGGGACCCUGGGCUUUGGGUUCAUGGUCUCGCCACUGAAAAGGUUCCCUCCACACUUUUGGAAUUGUGCACCCAUUGGAACCCUUGAGGUAAAGCUAACCAGAGAAAUUUCUCCCAAGAAGAAGAAGAUGGCAUCCUUGAAGUGAACAGCUUUUCCCAAGUUCACAGAGUAAGACUUCUACUAUCAUGAAACUCUUAUCUUUGAAUAUUUUUUCUUGCUUAUAUCUCUACUAACAAUAGAAGUGGAAAAAGGGUCUGUUAUGUGCACUUAUGGGGUAUACUUUUAUUUGUGAAGAAGUUUGCAGCCAGCCUUAUACAUGGAUAACCUUCUACUUUGAUAGAGAUGAAGGCCCAAUGCAGGUAAGAAACUUUAGUGGUACAUAUGUUGCCCCAUAAUCACUCAAAAACAAAAUAUUGGUUCAUCCCUCUUAACCCACAUCAUGGGUUAAAGAGAACAUUGCCAGGGGGUCUUCACUCUCCUAGAAGGGCAUCAUUUGUUAAGUCCUUUUUCCAUGGCUUAAAGUAAAGGAAGCAAUGAUUAGAAAUGUAUCCCUCAUGAUAGGCUCUAUAGCAAAUCUACUUUAAAGGCUAUCGUUACACAACAGAUUUUAAAUUCUCUUUGAAAGUUAUGCUAAAUAGAAUUGGCUAAACAAAGAAGUUCUUCUGCAGCUGCUGACACUUGCGGCCUAUGGAGAAACAGGUCAAAUGCAGAUUAUAAAAAUUCAGUGUAGGGGAUUAAUGAAAAGACCACUUAGUCAAGUGAGUAGACUCUUCAUCUAGCUCAUUCUUUAAACUAUUUAAGUGUAGGUGGUUUGGUUUCUAGGGACCCUGGUUAAGGAGCAUACUCUGAACUCUGGGUAUUUUCCUUCCAGUAGUGAUAAUAGUAGUCUCCUUGGUGCACUGUAUUCUCUCAAAGGUUUUAAAUGCUUGCAUGCAGCCAUCUCUAGAACAUCAAAUGGUCUCUCUUCGACUGGAAUGACAACAGCUGAAAGAAAUGUUCAACCAUGAGGACACCAUACCUAUAAAUGAUGUGCUGAGACUGGAAACCCAAAAUGUUGGUAACUGAGAAGUGGCACUAAGGCCCUAAGUUUUGGUUGCACACUCACCUAAGUGAGAACCUGACCAAAAAGGGGGGAUUUUUAAAACAAAACUCUGUGAGGCCAUUGUUUUGGACUAAGCUCAUGCACUCAUGCCCUGGGCCCCAACAGACUAAAGCAAACACAGAUGGAGUCAUUUGUGCUAAGACUUUAAGGAAACGCUUGGAUUCCACAACAGACUAGCUUUUGUUUUUUUCUUCUGCAAAUCUCUAUAACAAACAUUUCUGACAACAUAGGUAUCCACCCCCUGAAGUUCCCAUUAAAUCUUUUAACCAAAUUCAUUUCCUCUCACCUAGAGACCAUCAAGCUUCAGAUGAUGAUGCAACAAAGGUUUCAGCCAGUUCCAGGUGAAGACACCACCCUUGGACAUCAAGAAGCUACCCUGCCUCCACUAGAUAGAGCAGGGAGAGUUCUGUGAUCCCCAAUAGGGCCUUUGUAGACGCUAUCCCUUUGUGGAGAAGACUCUCAACACCCUUCAAAUACUAUGAUCUCAUCAGGAAGGCCCUCCCUGACCACCUAUGCCUGACUAGUACAGAAUGUGGCAUAAGGAUGAUCAAUCAGCAUUUGUUAGAUGGCUGCAUGAAUGAAAGAAUAAGGGAAUAAAGAAACUUGAAGCUUCUUGGAGAGAUAGCUCAUGUUUAUUCUGUCUUUACAGGCAAAAGAAUGUUUAUUUAACAAAUGAAUAAAUGAUCUUGUGUAAAAUCAUAAAGAUUACUCAAAGGGGGUAAGCAUCAACAGUAAAGAAUAAUGAUGAUGAAUGCUCUCUAAAUUUUAGAAGUGUUUCAAUUAUGGCAAUAAAAUUAAUAGUUUCUGGUUCCAGGGCAAACUAUGCCCAUACUUUUAAAAAUCAACCAACUGUGUCUUUCAACAAUGUCUAAGAAAGCUAAGAUUUUAUUUGGUCAACUGUUCACCAGGAUAAUUGAGGAAAGGAUGGAGGAGUGUGCUGGAAAUACUGAAAUACAUUCUUGUGAACAAGCUGGAGGGUUGUAACAAAUGUAUUCUGAAGGGCACAAUAAAAAUCAAGAGAGUUUACCAUAGUGAGACUAUGAAGCUCUGGCUGAAUAUGACCCAGAAUGCAUUUUUAAAAGAAUUUCUUAAACUCCAUGAUAAUUCCAUCCUUUGAAAAUCACAAAUCCUUUAUCAUCACAACCUAUGACACUGUGCUCAUCUGUGGAAAUAAAAAGGGUCAAGGAAAAUCCCCACUUCAUGAUCAUUGUAGGGGAAGCUUAUUAUAAUUCACUACAUUCAGGAAUAUCACAUACCAUAGGAUUGUUAGCUACUCCAUCUCAAUGCUAAACCAAACCAAACCAAAAUGAAACAAAAACAGCUUGAAAAAUUCAAUAGCAAAUCAGCACAGAAAAAGAAAAUGUUUACAUUUUUAUCAAAUGUUCAAUUUGACUACAAAGUGCUACUUUGGAGAUCUGGGCUACUCAAAGUAGCCACCUGGCUCCCUCAGUGGCAUGUUGGUUACAGGUCCCUGUGAGAUGAGGAAACUGCAAUAAAUACAGUGCUUCCUUCAUCAAGAAAGUCUUGCUACAAAAGAAGAAAAAGAAAGAAAGGAAAUA